AUACUUAUCUGGCAGGGGAGAGACCGUGAUCAUGAAGGUGGUUUUCCCAGGGCAAGGCUUAUCCAUUGCACUCCAGAUGUGCUGAUCCCUGCCAUUUCCCCAAAUGUGGGAAACUCAACUGCAUAAUUUGUGGUAGUGGGGGACUGCGUUCACGUUUUCCCCUG
This is a small nuclear RNA of Cebus imitator (Panamanian white-faced capuchin), 164 nucleotides long. Its record names the gene U1. It matches the Rfam family "U1 spliceosomal RNA". Rfam says of the family: U1 is a small nuclear RNA (snRNA) component of the spliceosome (involved in pre-mRNA splicing). Its 5' end forms complementary base pairs with the 5' splice junction, thus defining the 5' donor site of an intron. NCBI's taxonomy places the organism in Eukaryota, Metazoa, Chordata, Mammalia, Primates, Cebidae. The record is from Ensembl.